This 492-nucleotide ribosomal RNA is filed under the name uncultured bacterium. RNAcentral describes it as "partial 16S ribosomal RNA". It matches the Rfam family "Bacterial small subunit ribosomal RNA", at positions 29 to 507 of the family's 1533-position model. The record is from RNAcentral.
AGUGAACGCUGGCGGUAGGCCUAACACGUGCAAGUCGAACGGCAGCACAGUAAGAGCUUGCUCUUACGGGUGGCGAGUGGCGGACGGGCGAGGAAUACAUCGGAAUCUACUUUUUCGUGGGGGAUAACGUAGGGAAACUUACGCUAAUACCGCAUACGACCUACGGGUGAAAGCAGGGGAUCUUCGGACCUUGCGCGAUUGAAUGAGCCGAUGUCGGAUUAGCUAGUUGGCGGGGUAAAGGCCCACCAAGGCGACGAUCCGUAGCUGGUCUGAGAGGAUGAUCAGCCACACUGGAACUGAGACACGGUCCAGACUCCUACGGGAGGCAGCAGUGGGGAAUAUUGGACAAUGGGCGCAAGCCUGAUCCAGCCAUACCGCGUGGGUGAAGAAGGCCUUCGGGUUGUAAAGCCCUUUUGUUGGGAAAGAAAAGCAGCAGGUUAAUACCCCGCUGUUCUGACGGUACCCAAAGAAUAAGCACCGGCUAACUUCGUG